CCAGCCCCUAGCGCAGACGGCGGAGAGCAGAGAGGGAGCGCGCCUUGGCUCGCUGGCCUUGGCGGCGGCUCCUCAGGAGAGCUGGGGCGCCCACGAGAGGAUCCCUCACCCGGGUCUCUCCUCAGGGAUGACAUCAUCCGUCCACCUCCUUGUCUUCAAGGACCACCUCCUCUCCAUGCUGAGCUGCUGCCAAGGGGCCUGCUGCCCAUCUACACCUCACGAGGGCACUAGGAGCACGGUUUCCUGGAUCCCACCAACAUACAAAGCAGCCACUCACUGACCCCCAGGACCAGGAUGGCAAAGGAUGAAGAGGACCGGAACUGACCAGCCAGCUGUCCCUCUUACCUAAAGACUUAAACCAAUGCCCUAGUGAGGGGGCAUUGGGCAUUAAGCCCUGACCUUUGCUAUGCUCAUACUUUGACUCUAUGAGUACUUUCCUAUAAGUCUUUGCUUGUGUUCACCUGCUAGCAAACUGGAGUGUUUCCCUCCCCAAGGGGGUGUCAGUCUUUGUCGACUGACUCUGUCAUCACCCUUAUGAUGUCCUGAAUGGAAGGAUCCCUUUGGGAAAUUCUCAGGAGGGGGACCUGGGCCAAGGGCUUGGCCAGCAUCCUGCUGGCAACUCCAAGGCCCUGGGUGGGCUUCUGGAAUGAGCAUGCUACUGAAUCACCAAAGGCACGCCCGACCUCUCUGAAGAUCUUCCUAUCCUUUUCUGGGGGAAUGGGGUCGAUGAGAGCAACCUCCUAGGGUUGUUGUGAGAAUUAAAUGAGAUAAAAGAGGCCUCAGGCAGGAUCUGGCAUAGAGGAGGUGAUCAGCAAAUGUUUGUUGAAAAGGUUUGACAGGUCAGUCCCUUCCCACCCCUCUUGCUUGUCUUACUUGUCUUAUUUAUUCUCCAACAGCACUCCAGGCAGCCCUUGUCCACGGGCUCUCCUUGCAUCAGCCAAGCUUCUUGAAAGGCCUGUCUACACUUGCUGUCUUCCUUCCUCACCUCCAAUUUCCUCUUCAACCCACUGCUUCCUGACUCGCUCUACUCCGUGGAAGCACGCUCACAAAGGUAAAGACUUUUCUGUGGCUUAAUCCUUGUCAUGUUUUCGGCUCAUGGACACAAGGACACAUUUUCAUGCCUUCUCUCACAGGGCUCUGCGUCUCCGGUUCACUUCUGUGUCUUUACACUCCCUUCACAGAGACACUUGCUCCCCCUUCUCUCGUUCUUAGCAUCCCCUAGGAACUUGCACACCCAGGUCUCUCGACUUCUGGACCUGCUUCUUACCAUGCCGUCUUAAGCAGUCAGGAGUCGCUGCCUGGGUUCGAGUCCUAGUUAAAUUACUUAGUGCUGAGACCUUGGGGUAGGUAAACUUUUCCAAGCCAGGUUUAUCUCAGUUUCAAAAUAGGGUUAAUCGUCUUUAUCUGGCAGGUCAGGUGGGAUGUCUCACAGGUAAGCACCAGAUGCCAUUUGAAAGGCUUGAAGCAAAGUCAAUAAAGCAUUCAUGGGAAAAUACAACUGGAGGCACCACUAGAUUUUCGUAUACAUUAGGUUCCCACGGGGAGGACCGAAGAGAGAAGAAAGAAGUGGAAAGGGAGGAGCGUGCAGGAGAGACAGGAGAAGAGAAUAACUAAACAAAGACAUUAAAGACAAAAAAAAAGUAGGAAAGGGAGACUUAGAAAAUAUUAAAAGCCACCAAAAACACAUCCAAAGACGGUUUCCCCUUACGUUAGUUGGGCUAAAAGAAAGCAAAUGGGAAGAAGGUUUUAAAUUGAUUAUCCCAGUGACAAAUCCCAGGAAGCUUUCACAUCAAAUCACCCUAUUCUGGGUUUUUAACUCCUUCCAUCGAGUUUAACCUCUUUACCUCCCACAUCCUGGUAAACCCUGCCCCCUCCCUACCGCCCCCUUUGCUGGUGAUUAAAUCCUGAAGGUACACGAAGUAUUUCAGUGAAUGAAUGGCUAACAGAAAAGGGCCUCCCCUCCCCCUUACCCUGGCGGUGUUUUUCAGUUUUAUUCCACUUUCCGCCCUUUUCCCUUAAUGAACACAGGGCUAAUCUCGGGCCUUGUCGAAGGAAGAGGCUGCAGACGUUAAUGAGGUUAGCUGCUGGAUUCCAGUAUUCGUCGCAUAAGGAUCCUUCUUUGUCUGCGAAGGAAAAACACACUGAUUAUCAUAAUGAGGUGAACUGGCCACCGCCGGGCCGGGGCGAUGUGGCUUCUUAAGCCACACUUCUAAUUUUGGUGAUGGAGCCGACAUUUCUUUGGCUUCUCAUUUAAGUCUUUGCCUCUGUCCCAGUGCGAAGUCCAUUCAGCGGGGUUGAAAGUUGCAGGCAGCUUUGGGAAGGGGGGCGUCGGACAGGGUUGCAUUGUAGAAAGUGGCUUUGUUCGAUCCUUCGCACAGAUGCAAAUGGCCAGAGCAUUCAUUCCCUUUCUUCAAGAGCUGAGGACUGGGGGGGCCACUGGUGAUCAGUUCCCAACUCUAGCUCUCCUCUGACUCAUCUCAGGACCCAUUGAGGACAUCCAAAACUCACUCAAGAUCACCAAGUGGUAGGAAAGUACUAACUCCUGGGCAUAGCCCUAGGGGAGUGACUACAAUGUGAAUACUCAUGGAAUGCCUAGCCAGGUGAAGAAGUGAAUGCAUGUUGGCAUCCCAGAGGGACCCCCCUUAAGAGGGCAUAGUUUGGGGUUCAGAUUUGACUCCAGCAUACUGUUGAAAUUGGGCACAGGGGGCUAGUGAUUAGUCAGGAUCAAUCAGUGGAGAGGAGAUUAAAACUCACAUCUGGGAGUCCGGAAUCAGAACUUGUAGUUCUUUUUUUUGAAAUGGAGUCUCGCUCUGUCGCCCAGGCUGGAGUGCAGUGGCGUGAUCUCGGCUCACUGCAACCUCUGCCUUCCGGGUUCAAGCAAUUCUCCCACCUCAGCCUCCUGAGUAGCUGGGAUUACAGGCGCCCACCACCACAGCCGGCUACUUUUUGUAUUUUUAGGAGAGACGGGGUUUCACCAUGUUGGUCAGGCUGGUCUUGAACUCCUGACCUCAUGAUCCACCUGCCUUAGCCUCCCAAAGUGCUGGGAUUACAGGCGUGAGCCACCAUGCCCAGCCCUAUAGUAGUUCUUCUUUUGCCCCUUAAUAUCUUCACCCACAUGUCCUGUACCCUGCCUGAACCCUCCUCCUCUUUUUGUUCUGAUCUUUGAGCUCCCUAGAGCCCAUAAUUCUUUAGAGCAGGUAUGUCCCGAGUCUGAAACAUGCCCUUAUUUGUCCCAAGCUCUGGACAUUUCUCACCCCAAGGCGGAUCAAUCAUGAUUAAAUCACUCCAAUUAAACUUUAGGCUCCAGUCAGACCUUCAGCCAAAUGGAAAAAAAAACUAGGGGAUAAGGGAGGUAGUUGGAGCAAGAAAAUGUUAUUAGUUGAAACCUUACGGGACCUUCCUCCCUUAGUGAGUCUGUUGGCUAAAGGUUCUCUGGCUUCGUGAAUUAGAAUCGGAUACUGUUUCCAAGUUAGCAAAACCAACUCUACCCCAGCACCCCACGAGGAAGAAUGUGGAAGGAUCUCCCAUUGGCCGGUUGGGGCAAAAGCCUGAGGCAAUCUUUCAUCCCCUUUUGCCAAGGCGAGACUUUCCCAGUGACGGUGAUGUAGUUGGCCACUCUGACUAUGGGUGGACUCGGGUGUAGACCUCUGAAGCUGAGAUCACACGAAAACCUGGCCUCCCCGCCAUGUAGCUGUUGGAGAGUAGAAAAAUAGAGCACGCCUGAUGUUUCUAAAUGAGAAGACUUUCAAUAGUAAUGAAGAAUCCAUGGCACUCUCCUCACCCUCAAACACAUGGCAGUCAUUCACAUACAGGCCCCAAAGCCACUGUUAGUGCUGCAGUAGCUCCUGUGGACAUUGGAAAGCCCGGAGAGGGCGUGGAAGAAAUCAGCUGGCCCCCGGCAGGUUCUCUGGGGUUUUGUGCCCAAGGCUCCUGGAGCCCUAAAAACUUUCAAAAGUUAACUCCCCACGUCCCCAUCCUGCUUGGGUUUCUGGACUUUUCUGAGGCACCGGCAGAGGGGUCUCGUUGCUCCCUUGAGUGUAGGGGCAGCCCUUUAACCUGGCUCCUUGAGUCCCUGCUUUUUCUGCUUCUGUUGCCUUCUUCCUCGUCUUCCUCUCUCUCAAUAUCUCCCUCUCUUUGUCCCUCCCCAGUUCCUGACCUGGCCAUCCCGGGGUGCCCUUGACCAGCCCCGUGUCUCCUCAGGGUGUCCCAGCACCAGCCUGGCACAGAGUGGGGCUCAGUUAGAGUAUGUGGGAUGUUGGUUUCGCCAGGUGAGUGAAUGAAAGGACUCGACCACCACAGCUGAGCCACUAGCUGGGCCAUGCGAAGAGUUCUAGGUGCAAAGGCUGGAGGGUGGAAUUCAUUUUUGAGAGGUGUGUGAGCAGCUUCCGACCCCUGCCCCAUUUGAACGGGGGCCUUGCUGGUCGCGUCCCUGCAUUCACCCGCGCGGCCAUCCCGUCAUCCAACAGUUGAUCCUAACUGAGCACGCCCACGGCCCUGGUCUGGCCUGGGCACCGGCCACCGUAGCCCAUCCCUUGAUGGCCUCUGUGUCCCCAGGAGGGCGGGCCGGGGGGUUGCCCAGGGGCUGGAGCAGUGGACUGUGGCUCCAUAGAGGUAGGCCGGAGGGUGUGAGGGCAGAUUCAAGCUAUCCCCAGGGCUCUGCUCUGGUCGGAGCCAGCCCCUUCUCCCUCUCUGCCUUCCCCGCCCCAUUCCUGAUGCUGAACUGUUCUGGACCCCUGGCCCUGAGUCUCUCAGGACCAAAGUGGGCACGGGAACAGCUGUAGUGUGUGCCCCCCCGGGCUUUGGCCACAGGUCUCCCUCUCGAGGUGUGGUUGUGACUGCGACCCUUCCCUUGCCGUGAUGCCUUCCUCCCCCGGGGCUUGGUCCAGCUCCUUCACUCUCUAGCAGCUGCUGGGGCCCACCUCCCAUGCCGAGGACCAGCAGGGGAAACCUCCAGGGAGCAUCUGCAGGCUCUGCUUCUGCCCGGCUGCUGGCUUGCUCUCCCUGGUGGCUCUCCAGCGGCCAGCUUCCUCACCCACCCGGCACUCCGCUUUGCUCUGUCUCCUGAGGUGGGCCUGACCAACCUCCCCUUCUCUGCCUCAGUCCCUGGGCUCCAGGGCUCAGCUCCACAGCCCUCUGCCUAGCAGGCUGGUUCUCCCUGCCAAGCCCAUACCUGUGGUCACCUGGCCCUCCUGUGGUCUGAGUACCACUCCCCUGCCCCAGGAGCCACUCCCACUCCAGCUGCCUGUUUCCAGCAGGUUCCCAGUGCCCCCGACAAGCCCCUGCUGGUGUCUCCAUCUCCUGCCAAGCAUCCUCCAGUGCCUCCUCCUGUGGGCCUGGCCUCAGGGCUAUGGACAGACUCCUGUCCCAUCCCAGAGACCCCUCGUGAUCGUGCCCUGGCACGUGGGCCGUGGCCCGGCUGGGUCGGCUGAAGAACUGCGGAUGGAAGCUGCGGAAGAGGCCCUGAUGGGGCCCACCAUCCCGGACCCAAGUCUUCUUCCUGGCGGGCCUCUCGUCUCCUUCCUGGUUUGGGCGGAAGCCAUCACCUGGAUGCCUACGUGGGAAGGGACCUCGAAUGUGGGACCCCAGCCCCUCUCCAGCUCGAAAUCCCUCCACAGCCACGGGGACACCCUGCACCUAUUCCCACGGGACAGGCUGGACCCAGAGACUCUGGACCCGGGGCCUCCCCUUGAGUAGAGACCCGCCCUCUGACUGAUGGACGCCGCUGACCUGGGGUCAGACCCGUGGGCUGGACCCCUGCCCACCCCGCAGGAACCCUGAGGCCUAGGGGAGCUGUUGAGCCUUCAGUGUCUGCAUGUGGGAAGUGGGCUCCUUCACCUACCUCACAGGGCUGUUGUGAGGGGCGCUGUGAUGCGGUUCCAAAGCACAGGGCUUGGCGCACCCCACUGUGCUCUCAAUAAAUGUGUUUCCUGUCUUAACAAAAA
This 5942-nucleotide long non-coding RNA is filed under the name Homo sapiens (human). RNAcentral describes it as "maternally expressed 3 transcript variant". The stretch from base 538 to 642 matches the Rfam family "Maternally expressed 3 conserved region 2". Lineage: Eukaryota; Metazoa; Chordata; Mammalia; Primates; Hominidae. The record is from RNAcentral.